Molecule: long non-coding RNA, 2586 nt
Filed under: Solanum tuberosum (potato)
Lineage: Eukaryota; Viridiplantae; Streptophyta; Magnoliopsida; Solanales; Solanaceae
Description: long non-coding RNA (STUB_LNC002890)
Source: RNAcentral
CCAGUUAUCUUCCCCAUCGUCAUCCCUCUUGCUCUUAGUUGUCUCUUGCUUAUCAUCUGAGAAAUUUCUUGGUGGGCCACGUCUGUUCCAAUAGAAGGGCCAUAAGAAAGAUGGAAAAAUAUACAAAUCAGCAAUUCAAACUGGAUGAUAUAUAUUACGCAGGCAAGUUAUUUAUCAAAAAAAUAUAUAUAUUAGUUGAAUCAUGAUCACAAUUUAUAAAUAUCUUCUAAACCAUAACACCAAAAAUGGUUAAUACGAAGGGUUGAUAGAUCAGAGUCUCAUUUUAAAUCACUAGCUUGACAAAGCUCCCCAAUUCGACAUUUUGUGGAUGACAAAAUUAACACCCAAGAAUGCAAGAGCCAAUGCAUAAAGGAUGCAUAGUUUGUACAUCUUUUCUCUUUGGAGCUUGAAAGUUAUUGUCAAGAACCAGACCUUUGAAGCUAACGCAUGCUAUAGCAAUUUAGGUAUAACUAGAGCUUAGUAGAAUUUACUUCUACUGCCACAAACAUGAUAUUGCGGGUUUCUAAUUUGACUGGCGGUACCAAACUGAAGCUUGAUAACUGCAGAGACUUUUAGGUUCCCUUUAUCGUUAUGACAUAAUAGACUUUGUGUGAAGCCCAAUAACGAAGUGUGAGCUUAUGAGGGUAGAUCAAAGAGUAGCUGGCAGGUUUUUAGGCUUGCAAGUUUCUGAAUAAUGAGUGAGCAUGACACCUAAACCAAAUCCAUAGAAAAGUAAUGCUUAUAUAACACAGAGCACAAGUUCACAUGGUAUGCACACAAAUGGGCUCAAUGAUGGCAUAUCCAAGAAACAAAUUCGUGAUAUUUGUGGUACCAAAGUAGACAAUACGUGUCAAUGGGUUUGGGUUGUGACACUUUUGAGUCUUUGACUGACCAAAGGAAAACUUAAUGAUCAGAAUUGUGGCUCGAAUAGAGGGAAUAAGUAUUGGGGGUGGGUGCUCGGCUCAUUUCUUUCAAAUUUCGGUUCAGUUCUUCGUUAGUGUGUACCGAAUACCGAAUUGAUUUGAUCGGUUCAGUUGGGUUUUCUCAAGUUCAGUUCAGUUUUUCUAAUUCGAUUCUUCGGUAUGGACCAGACUGUUUUUCUGCUUGUAAGUUGGCUAUUUGAAAAUUUAAAAUGGCCUAUUUUAUGUUUUCUUUAAAAAAUGGGCCACAGAGUUACAAAUGCAGCUCCCUAAAUGCAACCAAUAUUACUAUUUGCCAAAAACGCAGCUGCCUUGCUACUGUACGUGUUCAUGCAGCCACACAGCAGCAAAACAAGAGAACCAGUAGCGACGGAGUUAACGAUAGGCUGGUAAUUUGGAGGCAAACCUUGGGAUCUACAGGGUUCAGGAUGAGCAAGACUAGGACAGGGUACUUGAAUGCAAGUUCAGUGGCGUAACUCAUGAGGCAGAUGUGGAAGUGAGGAUUGAUCAUUGAUGUACAAGUCAUCUCCAAGAGAGGAAGUUUCAAGUAUCUUAGCUCUAUAAUCCAAAAAAAAAAAGGGUAGAUCGACAACAAUGUUACACACCGUAUUGGAGCGGGCUGGAUUGGAGGCUCGCAUCCGGUGUCUUGUGUGAUAAGAGUAUGCCACCAAGACUUAGAGGUAAGAUUUUAGAAAAUGGUUGUCAGACCAACUAUGUUGUAUGGAGCGGAGUCUUGGUCGGUCAAGAACUUGCACAUUCAGGAAAAAAAAAGUAGCAAAAAUGAGGAUGCUGAGAUAGAUGUGUGUACAUAUUAGUAGUGAUAAGAUUGAGAAUGAAGAUAUCCUGGACAAGUUGAGAUGGUACGAACAUGUCAAGAGGAGAUGCACAGAUGUCCAGUGAGGAGGUGCGAGAGGUUGGCUAGAGGUAGAGGUAGGCCCAAGAAGUAUUGAGAAGAGGUGAUUAGAAUGACAUGCCACACCUACAACUUAUCGAGGACCUGAUCUUAGAUUGAAGGAUAUGGAGGUCGAGGAUUAGAAUAGAAGAUUAGUAGGUCGUUGAGCAUUGUCUAGUUUCUCUUAUGAGUUUUGUUAUUAUUAUCAUAUAUCAUCUUAUCCUACGAUUUUAUCAUUGCCUGUUGUUUCCUAUACUUCAAUUAUCGCAAUGUGUUGUUGUUACUGUUUUCUUCUCCAUUAUGGUUCAACAUAACUAGUACUACACUUCACCCUUUAUCUUCCUUGGCAUACAGCCUCUCUACCCUUACAAAGUAGGGUAAGGCUGCAUACAUAAUACCCUCCCAAGACCCAUCUUAUGGGAUAACUAUGGAUAUGUUGUUGUUAUUGUUGAUUGAUUUGAAUUCGUACCAACUUAGUAUGCUAAUAGCCAAAAGGACUAACUUACAAUUAUAGCAAAUACCCAACAUAGACAUAAAAAACAAAAGCACAAAGGGGCCAAACACAGAGUAAAACCCCAAAUGGGUAUGAGGGUAUUAAGAGAACCACCUUCUACGAUUGCGCCUAGCAGCAUCACGUGUCCUGCGCUUCUUCUCAUCUUGCGAGUUCUCGAAAUAUCUCCUACGCUUGCAUUCCUGGAUGACCCCAGCUCUCAUGACCUCCCUCCUAAACCGGCCGAGAAGCUUUUCUUCCGGUUCAUUAUCACCCACAAUAAC